Non-coding RNA from Carica papaya (papaya), 351 nucleotides. The record is from RefSeq and is a predicted model, not a curated record. Lineage: Eukaryota; Viridiplantae; Streptophyta; Magnoliopsida; Brassicales; Caricaceae.
CAGGCAGAAAGGAUCAAGCGUGAAAAGGCUCAAUCAAGAAGAUUAGAUGAUGCCGAACCUCAAGUUCAGCCUGAAUCUAUUGUUCCAGUUGCUCGGUAUCAUGGUUCUCGUCUUGCUUCAGGCCCUUCACCUUCACCAUUUCAGCAAGUAAGGGGCUUUGAUAAUAGUAGACCCUCUACCCGGCCCCACAAAGUCCGCCGUUUAUCUUCAGGCGCAAAUAUUGCUGCUGCUAUUGUGGAAGCAGAGGACAGUCUUGAAACAGAAGAACAUGAGAACAAAGAAGAAUUGAAAGUGAAGCUUAAGGAGUUACUUCGUGAGAAAUCUGAUGCCUUUAACUCAAAAAAUCCUGAA